CGGGGCGUAGCGCAGCCCGGCAAGCGCGUCUGCUUUGGGAGCAGAAGGUCGGAGGUUCAAAUCCUCUCGCCCCGA
Molecule: transfer RNA, 75 nt
Filed under: Candidatus Poribacteria bacterium
Lineage: Bacteria; Candidatus Poribacteria
Description: tRNA-Pro
Rfam family: tRNA
About the family: Transfer RNA (tRNA) molecules are approximately 80 nucleotides in length. Their secondary structure includes four short double-helical elements and three loops (D, anti-codon, and T loops).
Source: RNAcentral